GGGUGGCGGGGACCGGUGGGAAAGGUAGGGUAGGGCUUCCCUUAAAGGCGACGCGCGAAAAUGCGCGUCCCCCUAUCGGGCCCGCGUCGCUGACCCUCCCUUUCUCAUUCUUAAUAAACAAAUGCCCACCGGGUGGGCGCAGCUCCCUUCCUCCCUCCUGAGAGCACCAGAGUUCGGUGCAGUCCGAGAGAGGAGGAACAAUAGGACCCUGACGUGGGGAGUCGGGCAGAGCUGCUCUUUGUCCCUUUCCGGGCCACCGACCUCCUCCGCCCCAGUUCCUGGGUUCCCUGCCUACACUCGCAGCGGGGCUGUCUUUCCACUCCUAGCUCAGGACUGUAGAACCUUGCCAGCCUUAUCUCAGGGACAGACAGAUCUCAUCCCUCUUCCCCUGGCCUGAUGGGGCGAGGGGGCCUGGGCCCUGCCCAUUUCCUGGAGCGGCUCUCGGAGCCCUGCCCCUUCGCACACGCAACCGCUAAAUCCCUGGGAUUGGAGGAAUAUCUUUGGUUCGCUAGGUGGAAACCCCUGGGAAACGCGAGGGAAGGUCUUCCACCCCGGCCAUAAAGCUGGGGUCCAGAGGCGCACAGCAACAGGGAGAACCUUCCCCCGCCCCGCAUCAUUGCGGGGCAUUCGGAUCUUCCUACAGCCUGUAAGUCCAGUCCCCAAAGCGCAUUUACGGCGCUUCUGCAGUCGGCAGGCCGAGGGAAGGGUGCGUUUUCCCUGGACCUGCAAAGAGAUAACCCACCCCAGGCUCAGGCACACCGGGGUAAACUACCCAGGGGGUAAGCUACCCAGGGCCUGGAGCGCGUGCCCGCGCAGUAGCUGACGUCCCCUUUUACAGUUACUCAGCCGUUUGCUGAACCACUGCGUGCGCCCUCUCACACCUUCCUCAGCGCGGGGCAAUUCUACCCAGACAAGACUACAGAGGUGGUGCCACGGCCCUCUGAGGGUACUUGGCAUUCUUGGGAGGAGGGAGAGUAUAACGUGAGAAGACACCGUGAGGCUGUCUGCAGCGCUAUGCAGGGAAAUCAGUUGCCUUAGAUCUUGUUUUCUGGGAGGGACUAGGACGUAGGAGCUUGGAUCCGAGCCUGAGCAACAAGGACAAAGGGUGACAGCUUCGGUGGAAGAAAAGGAAACCUUUAUCCAAGCAGUGGUUCAAACCAUCUCUACACGACUGGCCGGGAAGCUUUUCUCCAGGACCAUAACGACCUCCUGGGAGAGCUCGGGAAGGUGCUAGCAUUGGUGCUGCUGGGUGGUUUAGAAGUGGCUCGCUGCUCCCCACCCUACCCCCCUUGCUUCACAUGCUUGGUGAGAAGAGGAUCCCAGGACCGAACUAGCAUCCCAGAGCAAAAGCUCUCCAGGACAAAUGUCUGUGUCCCCCUGGAACACUCAGAGUCCAGUAUAGCCACAUAGUAAGUCUGAGGCCACCGGGGGCCCCCCCAAUGAGAUCUUGUCUGAAAAAAGCAGUCCCACACACACUGCUAGUUCAAGGGGUUCAUAUUCCUCUCCAUGCCUGCAAGCCUAAGCUCAGACCUGCUUUGGCAGCCCUAGCUGUUUGCUAAGCGAAUGAUUGACCCUUCCAUGCACGACCCAUUGAGUUUGAGGCCCUUGUUUUAAAGGGAGGAAAACCGAGUCCCAGAAAGGAAGUACAAGGUCAUUUUCAUUGCUUGUUUUACCAACCACAUAUAUACGCUCCAGUACAUAAGUACCACCAACGAGUGAAGCGAAAACACCACUCUUACAGCCUCUUGGGGCCUGAGAAAAGUUUUCCUGGGGAAGCUGAAUCCUGAAAGCUGAGGGGUGAUUGGCAGAGGUGGAUGGAUGGAGCAGCAGAGGCUGGGGCAAACCAUGGAAGAGCAGUUUCAAGGAGGCAUGUGCCUGGGCAUGGAGAGGUGGAGCUGAGUGGAGACCAUCCAUGUUAGCACCAUCCUUUGCCGGGGACUCCGAGAGGUGACAAUUACAGCAGCAAUAAUAACCAGCAUGAACGACAAGUUCCCCAUAGCUGAGUAGAUAGAUUACCCUCCCUUCGCUAGCCUUCCACACUGUAGGUACUCCAGCGCUAACUAACCAAGGCCAGGAGUAACUUGGACAGUUACCAAUGGGAAAGAGGUGUAGGAGGGAGUGGCUGGAAUCUCCGGUAGGAGGAGGGGUUAUCUAGUUACCCCACCCCUCCUCUGAGGGAAUGUCAACUGGCCCAGCCUUGAGGCUCACAGCUGCCGAGAACAGCAGUGGCUGCCAGACUCCGAGGGUAGUGUCCAGCAGCAGGGUUUGCUUGGGUGUUAAGUUCCAGGCUCCAAGUGCAGCCUUUUGAGUCCUGCUCUGUGUAUGUCUGUGACAGCUGGCAGCUGCUCCUAGCACCCAACCCUGCAGCUUCCAGAUGCUCUGCAUGCCGGGCCUCAGGUGCUACCUCAGGCCCCAAAUCUACAACCAGCAGUCCGACACACACACACACACACACACACACACACACACACACACACACGAGAUCUGAGACCCAGCUCCUCUGAAUAUUUCAUGCCGUGAGGAUGGAAUGAAAGUGGCAAAGACCUUAAUUGUUAAUGUGGCUUCUGCUGGCUCCAGGCCCAGCCCUCCCAGCCCCUCCUAUUUGAAAUAGCAACAGUGCAUCGGAUAACUUCUCCAGCACCUCAGGUCUUAUGCCCUGCCCUGUGUGAGGCUGGGCUGGAAAGAAGUUGACCCCUGACCCCCAGCUGGCCAGAGAAGUCCAUAACGUCCAGUGUUUGCUUACCAUUUGUUCCCCAGUUCUCAACAUAGAACCUUCGAACCAGGUUGGAAAAAAAAAAAAAAUUAAGGAAAGCAGAAUGGCCUGGCCUUAGAGUCUGUAUUUCUGGCCUCACACCACAGAGUGGCCCUAGGCAGUCACAGACACACCUUGUCCUCUGUGCUUCUAGAUCUGUACCUAAGCUUUGGACCAUAAGAAGGGAAACUCCAAAAAAAAAAAAAAAAAAAAAAAAAAGAAGGGAAACUCCAACCCUAGACCAUACUGUGAGACAGGCGGGUGUUGCUUGCUUAGAAAGGGGGGUGGGAUGGAAGGAGGGCAUACUGAUGAAUGUUCCAGAGCCUGGACUAGAAGGUGUGUUCAUGAAACUCUGAAAACCUACAGUGAGCUGGGUCCUCAGUCAUAAGCAGGGUCCCUCCGACAGAGACCCAACACCAGGACCAUGAUGCAGUGAAACAUUCCAUCUUGGCAUCCCAGGUUCCUAGAACCUGUGUCAGCAAAUCAAGGUACCACAGCAGCAAGGUGACAGAUCAGCCCCAGAGGUCUCAGUCCUGAAAAGCUCAUGAAAUGCAGCCCCAAAACCCUGCCCCAGACCAAUGCCACUUGAAUAUCUGGGAAUAACUCCAAUAUAGAGGACUGGGGUGCUCUAGCCAGGGAUGUUCCCUGGCGUCAGACCAAGCUGGAAGGGGACACACCCAUGUUUGGUGGAGGGAGGGGCAAGCCCUCCCUAAGUGUCUUUAGAGCAGUUCUCAACCUGUAGGUCUCGACACCUUUGGGUGUCAAAGGACCCUUUCACAGGAGUUGCCUAAGACCAUCAGAAAAUACAGAUAUUUACAUUACAAUUCAUAACAGUAGCAAGAUUACAGUUAUGCAGUAGCAACAAAAUAAUUUUCUGGUUGGGGGGUCACCACAACAUGAGGAACUGUGUUAAAGGGUCACUGCAUCGGGAAGGUUGGGAACUGCUCUAGAACACUUCGCCUAAAGAUGUUCAGAUUCCCUCAAGUGCUCCCAAAUAUGCUGCCUAGGAUGCCAGUAUCUAGUGAGAGGGGAGGGACUAGGGUUGGUAAUGUCGGCUGCCAUCUUUAUCACAUUCCCUGAUUUGUUGCUCCGUAGCCAGGGUUGUGACAUGAAAGAAAUAACCAUAUACCAAACUACCAGGGGCUCAUGGACACAGGAUCCCAGAGGAAAGGGCCAGCACAGAAGAGGAGGAGCAUCUUGGGCAUAUUGCAGAAUUUCAGAGCGUCAGGAGUGAGAAGAUCCUAGAAAUGGGGCAGGGGGGUGGGAGAUGAGAGACACAAAGGUCAAGAGUCAGAAUGACAAGACUCUCCAGCCAGCUCCAUGAACUAACUACAAGACACCAGGGUAAUGGGAUCCUCAGCUGCAGGAACCUGUUGGGUACCCAUGUGAUCAAAGGUGUGAGGGAGAGGAAGACAUUUGCACACGUGUUUAAUGUCUUUAAAAUGACUUUGAUCAAAUGCACACCUGUGUGGAGGUCAGAGGCAGGAGUAGGAUUCUCCCACAAUGUGGGUCCAGGGGAUCGAAUUUCGGUGGUCAGGCUUGGUGGCAAGUAACAUUACCCUCUUGAGUGCUCUCGCUAGCCUCGUUCUCACACACGCCAAGCUGGAGACGAGGUUCAGUUAAGUAGAGCACUUGUCUGGCAUACACAAAGCCCCUGGCUUCAGGCCCCAGUACCACAUAAAUUGACAUGGUGUUGCACACUUAAAAUCCCGGUACUCUGGAGGUGGAGACUGAAGAAUCUGAAGUGCAAGGUCAUUCUGGGCUUGUUGGGGAGGGGUGGGCAGCAAGUCAGGAGUAUACUGUUUAUUUACAAAUACUCCCAUGGAGAGCACUGAAGAAUCCAGGGGUCAGAAAAACAGCUCUGGCCCGGGAGAGGAGGGGUUUGUUUAGAACUUGCUCUGUCAACCAGGCUAUCCUCAAACUCAGAGAUCUGCUUGCCUCUGUCACUAGAAUGCUGUGACUAAAGACAUCCACCACCAUGCCAGUUUGUAUAAUUUCAUUCUUGAAACACUGAAAAUGAUUUAAAAUCAAAUGUAUAAAGCCUGGCAUUGUUUCAAGGACACUGGAAGCUGAGUGACCACAGAUCAGCCAGCUGCCUUGAAAAUGUGAGAAAAAGAUUUCCUGCUUGAAUUUGGCUCCUGGAAAGGGUCUGCCUAGUGGAAGACAGAUCAUAAGCAUUUCCAGUGAUGCAAGGUCCCAGAAAAAUAAAAAGCAAUUCUUCCAGGAAGCUUUUGGAGUGUGCAUUUCUCUAGGAGUUGAAAGUCAUGGGCAGGGGGAGCCCCUACCUGAGGCAGCAAAGGAACCCCAGAGGGUUGGAACAUGGCUUAGAGGGGCCCAGGGUGUCAGAGUAGAGCAGUUGGCAGUAACAUCAUGGGGCUUAGAUUUAAAAAAAAAAAAAAAAAAAAAAAGCCUAAAUACCGUUUAAGGGUAAGUGAAUGCAUUAGCCUCUGAGCAGAAACAAACAAUUGUAUAAGAAACUGUCCCCAGCCAUUUCGUGACUGUCAUGAAUAACUUUCCCUAAUCAUAACCCCCUGGCCAGCUGCUCACUGACACAUGGAGAAAACCCUCUGGAGAGGCAUGGGACAGGAGAGGUGAGAGGGACCAGGAGUGGGGACACCAUGGAAUGUAGAGAAUAGAAAGGCAGGGAAAAAAUUAUAGUACAUUAUAUACAAAAGUCCUUAUGCUCAUGGAUAAGCAUUAGGGAAACCAGGAAUGCUAAACACGCAGGGUUGUUGUCUUCAAAGAGAUGUAUAACCUGUUUUCCACCCAGAAGGCUGGGAAUGGAGGUGACUAAUAGCCUAGGUGACCCUUGGACUAUCUGUAGGUCUAAGCCAGACCUGGCUCCCGCAGGCUCCCACAGGCAGAACCGGAAGUAGCUAAUAGUCUAGACCUCUGCACUGUGUGACUGAGACCACGGCAGAUCCUCCCCUAGGCCCUUAUGUGUUUAUCUAUAGAACCCAUCUUCAGGGAAGAAGUGGCUUGUACUUUGAGAAGGAUUUCAAUGUAUUUAUGCCUCAUUGUGCACACGGGAUUGUGUUACACCAGGAAACAAAUUGUACAGUGCUUAAACAUGCCAAAAUAAACUGCCCGUGUCAGAACGUUUGAACCAA
Molecule: long non-coding RNA, 5862 nt
Organism: Peromyscus californicus insignis
Lineage: Eukaryota; Metazoa; Chordata; Mammalia; Rodentia; Cricetidae
Exons: 2
Source: RefSeq, a predicted model, not a curated record